GCCAUUUUAGAUGCUCGCCCACUCUCUCGCAAGCCAUGGAAGGAAAAGGUCGCGCUUCAGCAUCGCUCCCUUAUUUCGCCUUAAAACUCCUUAAAUAUCCAACUUAAAGAUGUGGUCCUGGAGAUCCACGUGGCUAAAUAAUUCCUAAAUAAGUGGAAGGAGAGGAGGAACAGGGUGACAGGGAGGCUGGGGGAGCAGGUGGCAGGGAGGCUGGGAGGAACAGGGUGACAGAGAGGCUGGGAGAACAUGACAGGGAGGCUGAGAAGAACAGGGUGACAGGGAGGCUGAGAAGAGCAGGGUGACAGGGAGGCUGAGAGGAACAGGGUGACAGAGGCUGGGAGAACAUGACAGGGAGGCUGAGAAGAACAGGGUGACAGGGAGGCUGAGAGGAACAGGGUGACAAGAGAGGCUGGGAGGAACAGGGUGACAAGAGAGGCUGGGAGAACAUGACAGAGGAGUCUUAAGAGGAACAGGGUGACAAAGAGGCUGGGAGAACAUGACAGGGAGGCUGAGAAGAACAGGGUGACAGGGAGGCUGAGAAGAACAGGGUGACAGGGAGGCUGAGAAGAACAGGGUGACAGAGGCUGGGAGGAACAGGGUGACAGUGAAGGAGCACCUCAUUGGACGACAGACAGGGAUGGGGAGAUGAAGGGGAAGGAAGAGGAGGACAAGGAAGAAUAUGAAAGGAGGAAGAGAAGAGAGAGAGGAGUGGUUUAGAAGAAGAGGAAGAAGACGAGGAGGAGGAGGAUAAGGAAGAAUGUGAAAGAAGAGGAAGAGAGGAGUGUGUUUGGAAGAAGAGGAGGACAAGGAAGAAUAUGAAAGAGGAGGAAGAGAAGAGAGAGAGGAGUGAUUUGGAAGAAGAGGAAGACGAGGAGGAGGAGGAUAAGGAAGAAUGUGAAAGAAGAGGAAGAGAGGAGUGUGUUUGGAAGAAGAGGAAGAAGACAAGGAGGAGAGGAAGAGGAAGAAGAUGAGGAGGAGGAGCAAAAUUGAACUGAUUGACUCAGCAAUGGAAGGAAGAGAGAAAAUAGAGUUAUUUCACUUUUAAAAGACUGCUGAAGAAAAUAUGAACCUCGUUAACCUGGCCGCCAUUUACAAGUGAAUUAUGUGCUGUACAGUUUGUGUGUCAGAAAGAGGAGAGGACACACAGAGGAAGGCCAUAAGGAAGAGGAGGAGGAGGAAGAGGAAGAAGAGUUACUGGUGUGUCUGUCUGUCUGUCUGUCUGUCUGAAGAGGAGGAGGAGGAGGAUGAAGAGGUGAAGGAAAUGAAGGAAGAAGAGAAAAGGAAGAAACACAAAAGGAGGAGGAAGAAGAAGAGAAGAGGGGAAGGAGGAGGAGGAGGAGGAGGGACACGAGGAACAAGAGGAGGAGGGACAUGAGAAAGAAGAGGAGGAGGAGGAGGGACACAAGGAAGAAGAGGAAGAGGAGGAGGAGGAGGGACACAAGGAAGAAGAGAGGAAGGAGGAAGAGGAAGACCCAAAUUUAGUCUAUUUUAUUUAUUUAAUGUGUCUGUCUGUCUGUUUGUCAUCGAAAAUAAAUAAAACUAUCAUUAUU
Molecule: long non-coding RNA, 1550 nt
Organism: Scylla paramamosain (green mud crab)
Lineage: Eukaryota; Metazoa; Arthropoda; Malacostraca; Decapoda; Portunidae
Exons: 7
Source: RefSeq, a predicted model, not a curated record